This is a long non-coding RNA of Hippocampus comes (tiger tail seahorse), 673 nucleotides long. RefSeq lists it as uncharacterized. The transcript is spliced from 4 exons. Lineage: Eukaryota; Metazoa; Chordata; Actinopteri; Syngnathiformes; Syngnathidae. The record is from RefSeq and is a predicted model, not a curated record.
ACACAAAAUCAAGUAAAGUCGUUAAAAAAAAAGUAAAUGCAUUUUUUUACGAGAAUGAAAGGACUGUGUACGUCUCAAAAUGGCGGACGUUACUCUUCAAACUCCACCCCAGUGACGUUUUAAAGACCAAGCGAGGAGAACACCACCUCCGAGGAGCCUCUGGAAGCCUGUUAAAUUGCAAACUAGCUGUUGGCUAGCGUCUCUUGCCCCAUCGUGGAAAGCACCCGUCGCCGGUGACAAGUCGGCUUGUCGGUUUUCACUGCCAGAAUUGAAGAACGUAUCAUAUCAAGACUGACCUGUGAGGGGCAGCACCGUGCCACAGGGGAAUCCAUACAGCUGGAAGAAAACAGAAGAAGAAAGCGUCCUAAUUUGCUUUUGUUCUAUUCGGUGUCACAAUGGCCGAGCUUGGUAAAUAUUGUAUGAAAGUUAAGAUUCACACUCGAUGGGUGGGCAGGCGCAGCAGUUAAAUUUUCAUCGUGUUUCCUUCUUUUCUUUCAGCGUAUUUUUUUUUCUUCUUCUUCUUCUUUAGAAAUGUCAACAAUCUAUUUCAUGAUCCGGGAAUGGAUUGUACCGGAGCUAAAAGGUCCCUCUGUGUAUUUUAGUUGUCUGUUUUCCUUUUGUUUCCCUCCCUGACAGCUUUCCUUCAAGAGGUCGGAAGUCCCCUUUUCAAUGC